This 542-nucleotide long non-coding RNA is filed under the name Physcomitrium patens. RNAcentral's name for it is "long non-coding RNA (PPAT_LNC011973)". Lineage: Eukaryota; Viridiplantae; Streptophyta; Bryopsida; Funariales; Funariaceae. The record is from RNAcentral.
CUAUUUGAUAAUUCCAAUCUUUUUUAAUUUUUUUUAUACUUGUUGUCAACUUAAUUUUUAAGAGGCGUGCAAAAUUUGAAUUAAAAUCAAUGGUUCAUUCAUUAGUUAUUGAGGUUUAAAUUUGUUGUAGGAAUUACUUAGAAUUGAUUAGGAUUUGGUUUAGGAUUAGGAUUAGGAUUUUGGGUUGAUUUAAGAUUUGAUUAAAAUUAAAAUUUAGUUAAGUCUAGAAUUAAAGUUUUGGAUUUUAUUCAAGGCUUGGUUAAGAUUUGUUUAGGAUUUGAUUAGGAUUUGAUUAGGAUUUGACUAGAAUUUAUUAGGACUUGAUUAGGUUUUAUUUUGGAUUUGAUUAGUAUUUGGUUAGGAUUUGUUUAGGAUUUGAUUAGGAUUUGUCUGAGAUUUGACUAGGAUUUGUGUAGGAUUUGAUUAGGGCUUAUUCAGGGGUUGAUUAAGGUUUAAUAAAGAUUUGAUAAAGGUUUGACUAAGGUUUGAUUAAGAUUUGACUAAGAUUUGAUUAAUAUUUGACUAAAUUUUGACUAGGAUUU